Molecule: ribosomal RNA, 492 nt
Filed under: uncultured bacterium
Lineage: Bacteria
Description: partial 16S ribosomal RNA
Rfam family: Bacterial small subunit ribosomal RNA
Source: RNAcentral
AGUGAACGCUGGCGGUAGGCCUAACACAUGCAAGUCGAACGGCAGCACAGUAAGAGCUUGCUCUUACGGGUGGCGAGUGGCGGACGGGUGAGGAAUACAUCGGAAUCUACUUUUUCGUGGGGGAUAACGUAGGGAAACUUACGCUAAUACCGCGUACGACCUACGGGUGAAAGCAGGGGAUCUUCGGACCUUGCGCGAUUGAAUGAGCCGAUGUCGGAUUAGCUAGUUGGCGGGGUAAGGGCCCACCAAGGCGACGAUCCGUAGCUGGUCUGAGAGGAUGAUCAGCCACACUGGAACUGAGACACGGUCCAGACUCCUACGGGAGGCAGCAGUGGGGAAUAUUGGACAAUGGGCGCAAGCCUGAUCCAGCCAUACCGCGUGGGUGAAGAAGGCCUUCGGGUUGUAAAGCCCUUUUGUUGGGAAAGAAAAGCAGCAGGUUAAUACCCCGCUGUUCUGACGGUACCCAAAGAAUAAGCACCGGCUAACUUCGUG